AUGGGGUGGGAGAAGAGGGUGGGGGUUAUGGGGUCUAUCUGUGGGUCUCUAUGGGGUUUCUAUGGGGUUUCUAUGGGUCUCUAUGGGGUCCCUAUGGGUUUCUAUGGGUCUCUAUGUGUCUCUAUGUGUCUCUAUGUGUCUCUAUGGGUCUCUAUGGGUCCCUAUGGGUCUCUAUGGGUCUCUAUGGGGUCUCUAUGGGGCUCUAUGGGGCUCUAUGGGUCCCUAUGGGUCUCUAUAGGGUUCUAUGGGUCUCUAUGGGUCUCUACACGUCUCUAUGGGUCUCUAUGGGGUCACUAUGGGUCUCUAUGGGUCUCUGUGGGUCUCUAUGGGGCCUCUAUGGGGCUCUGUGGGUCUCUAUGGGGUCCCUAUGGGUUUCUAUGGGUCUCUAUGUGUCUCUAUGUGUUUCUAUGGGUCUCUAUGGGUCUCUAUGGGUUUCUAUGGGGUCCCUAUGGGUCUCUAUGUGUCUCUAUGCGUCUCUAUGGGUCUCUAUGGGUUUCUAUGGGUCUCUAUGGGGCUCUAUGGGUCUCUAUGGGGUCUCUAUGGGGCUCUAUGGGUCCCUAUGGGUCUCUAUGGGUCCCUAUGUGUCCCUGUGUGUCCCUAUGGGGUCUCAAUGUGUCCCUAUGGGUCCCUAUGGGGUCUCAAUGGUUCCCUAUGUGUCUCAAUGGUUCCCUAUGGGGUCUCUAUGUGUCCCUAUGGGUCCCUAUGUGUCCCUAUGGGUCCCUAUGUGUCCCUAUGGGGUCCCUAUGGGUCCCUAUGGGGUCUCAGUGUGUCCCUAUGGGUCCCUAUGGGUCUCUAUGGGUCUCUAUGGGUCCCUAUGGGUUUCUAUGGUUCCCUAUGGGUCCCUAUGGGUCCCUAUUCAUUCCUAUGGGUCUCAAUGAGUCCCUAUGGGUCCCUAUGGGGUCUCUAUGGGUUUCUAUGGGGUCUCAAUGGUUCCCUAUGGGGUCUCUAUGGGUCCCUAUGGAUCCCUAUGGGGUCUGUAUGGGUCUGUAUGGGUCUCUAUGGGGUCCCUAUGGGUCCCUAUGGAUUUCUAUGGGUCCCUAUGGGUCCCUAUGUGUCUCAGUGGGUCCCUAUGGGGUCUCUAUGGGUCCCUAUGGAUCCCUAUGGGGUCUGUAUGGGUCUCUAUGGGUCUCUAUGGGGUCUCAAUGGGUCCCUAUGGGUCUCUAUGGGUCCCUAUGGAUCCCUAUGGGGGGUCCCUAUGGGGUCUCUAUGAGUUCCUAUGGGUCCCUAUGGGUUCCUAUGGGUCCCUAUUCAUUCCUAUGGGUCUCAAUAGGUCUCUAUGGGUCUCAAUGGUUUCCUAUGGGGUCCCUAUGUGUCCCUAUGGGUCCAUACUCACCAUGUGUGGGUCGUUGGGUCCCCUCCCCACUUUGGGUCUCUAUGGAUCCCUAUGGGUCCCUAUGGGUCCCUAUGGGUCCCUAUGGGUUUCUAUGGGUCAGAAUGGGCUUCAAUGGGGUCCCUAUGGGUUUCUAUGGGUUUCUAUGGGUCCCUAUGGGUCCCUAUGGGUCUCUAUGGGUCCUUAUGGGGUCUCAAUGGUUCCCUAUGGGUCUCAAUGGNUAUGGGGUCUCAAUGGUUCCCUAUGGGUCUCAAUGGUUCCCUAUGUGUCUCAAUGGUUCCCUAUGGGGUCUCUAUGGGUCUCAAUGGUUCCCUAUGGGGUCUCAAUGGGUUCCUAUGGGUCUCAAUGGGUCCCUAUGUGUCCCUAUGUGUCCCUAUGGGGUCUCUAUGUGUCCCUAUGUGUCUCAAUGGUUCCCUAUGGGUCUCAAUGUGUCCCUAUGUGUCCAUAUGGGGUCCCUAUGGGGUCUCAAUGUGUCCCUAUGGGUCCCUAUGGGGUCUCAAUGGUUCCCUAUGGGUCCAUACUCACCAUGUGUGGGUCGUCGGGUCCCCUCCCCACUUUGGGUCUCUAUGGAUCCCUAUGGGUCCCUAUGGGUCCCUAUGGGUCUCUGUGGGUCUGAAUGGGCUUCAAUGGGGUCCCUAUGGGUCUCAAUGGUUCCCUAUGGGUCCCUAUGGGUCUGA
This 2007-nucleotide long non-coding RNA is filed under the name Coturnix japonica (Japanese quail). Its description in RNAcentral is "lncRNA (ENSCJPG00005002631.1)". The record is from RNAcentral. Lineage: Eukaryota; Metazoa; Chordata; Aves; Galliformes; Phasianidae.